Vigna unguiculata (cowpea) is the source of this 582-nucleotide long non-coding RNA. RefSeq lists it as uncharacterized. The record is from RefSeq and is a predicted model, not a curated record. Lineage: Eukaryota; Viridiplantae; Streptophyta; Magnoliopsida; Fabales; Fabaceae.
AUAAUCAAUCACAAUAUAUAUAAGAGAGAACAAUAAUCAAUCACAAUAUAUAAAAUGGCUUCAUGCUUUGAGUUCUUCCUUUCACUCAAGUUUGGCAAAAGGGCAAAGGGUUUCCUUUGGAGGACUACCAAGGCUCAAGCUCAGCCUCAGCUGCUUAAGGCACCAAAAUCAUCGGUUCCAGUUGAAGAACGAGACCUUCCAUGGGAUCUACCAGGACAUAAUUUUUAAAACAAAUUACGUUCAUCAUGAUCAGUGUCUCUCUCAUGAUAAAAGAAGUGUCAAAUAAAAAUAGAGAAAGACUCAUAGAAUAUAUGACAUAUUAAUGAGUUUUUAUCUUUUUUAUUGAACACUUUCACUUAUGUAUUACAUCAUAAUUCACCACUAUGUUCAGUCUUUUUAGAUGUAUUAUACUAAUCCAACACUUGGUUUUCUUUUCUUGGUUAAGUUUAGUUCUAUGUUGAAGAAACUUUUCAGGUCAUUGAUAUUUCAGUGAAGUUGUUGUUGUUGUCUUUUAUUUGGUGAAGUUGUAAUAAUUUCUUUAGUCAGUUAGUAUAUGAAAGUGUUUUGGUAAUUUCUUGAACA